Molecule: RNA transcript, 2574 nt
Organism: Solanum pennellii
Lineage: Eukaryota; Viridiplantae; Streptophyta; Magnoliopsida; Solanales; Solanaceae
Gene name: methylcrotonoyl-CoA carboxylase subunit alpha, mitochondrial
Exons: 16
Source: RefSeq, a predicted model, not a curated record
UAAAAUUCAUCUUUAAAUUCUCUUUCACUCUCAGUCAAGUUAACCAUUAUUACUCUUCAUAACAAUGUCGACGAUGGCGCUCAUACUCCGGCGAAAAAUUCUCUCAAAACCCUACAUUUCUCAUCAAUCAUCGCUGUACUCCACGACGCCGGAGAUAAAGAGUUUGAAUAGUCAACGAAUUGAGAAAAUACUCAUAGCUAAUAGAGGCGAGAUUGCUUGUAGAAUUAUUACAACUGCUAAGAGAUUAGGGAUUCGUACUGUUGCAGUUUACAGUGAUGCUGAUAGAGAUAGUUUACAUGUGAAGUCUGCUGAUGAGGCUUUUCGUAUCGGUCCUCCUCCUGCUCGUUUGAGCUAUUUGAAUUCUUCUGCUAUUAUUGACGUUGCUAAUAAAUCUGGCGCCCAGGCUAUCCACCCAGGUUAUGGAUUCUUAUCUGAAAGUGCUGAUUUUGCUCAACUUUGUGAAAAUGAGAAUCUCUUAUUUAUUGGACCUCCUGCAUCUGCAAUCCGUGACAUGGGCGAUAAAAGUGCUUCAAAGAGAAUAAUGGGUGCAGCUGGGGUUCCACUUGUGCCUGGAUAUCAUGGUGAUGAGCAAGAUAUUGACUUUAUGAAGUUGGAAGCAGACAAGAUUGGGUAUCCUAUUUUAAUUAAGCCAACCCAUGGAGGUGGAGGGAAGGGUAUGAGGAUUGUUCAGAGUCCAAAUGAAUUUGCUGACUCAUUCUUGGGGGCCCAACGUGAGGCAGCUGCAUCAUUUGGUAUAAGUACAAUCCUACUGGAGAAAUAUAUUACUAAACCAAGACAUAUAGAAGUCCAGAUAUUUGGGGAUAAACAAGGUAAUAUAAUACAUCUCUAUGAGAGAGAUUGUAGUGUGCAGAGAAGACACCAGAAGAUAAUAGAAGAAGCUCCAGCUCCUAACGUGAGCUCUGACUUCCGUUCCCAUCUGGGUCAAGCAGCUGUAUCUGCAGCUAAGGCAGUCAAUUACCACAGUGCAGGAACUGUUGAGUUUAUAGUUGAUACGCAAUCUGGACAAUUUCAUUUUAUGGAGAUGAAUACCCGUCUUCAGGUUGAGCAUCCAGUUACAGAGAUGAUUGUUGGUCAAGAUCUUGUAGAGUGGCAAAUACGUGUUGCAAAUGGGGAGCCUCUUCCCUUGACUCAGUCAGAGGUGCCAUUUUCAGGUCAUGCUUUUGAAGCCCGAAUUUAUGCUGAAAAUGUUCCAAAAGGAUUUCUUCCAGCAACUGGUGUUCUUCAUCAUUAUUGUCCUGUUACAGCUACAUCAGCAGUUAGAGUUGAGACUGGAGUGGAGGAAGGGGACACAGUAAGUAUGCAUUAUGAUCCCAUGAUUGCAAAGCUAGUAGUAUGGGGACAGGACCGCCUUUCAGCACUGAUAAAAAUGAAGGAUUGCUUGUCAAAGUUUCAGGUUGCAGGUUUACCCACCAAUAUAGACUUUAUCAUUAAGCUUGCCAGUCAUACGGCUUUUCAAAAUGGUGAAGUAGAAACUCAUUUUAUUGAGCGGUACAAGGAUGAUCUGUUCAUAGACGGUUCCAAUUCAAUAUCAGCAGAAAAAGCUGAGAGUGCUGCCAAACAUGCUGCAUCCAUUGUAGCUGCAUGCAUUUGCCAAAAUGAACUUGCAACAUUGAAGGAUAAGGCUCCUGGAGGCCUUCAUUUGUGGUAUGGUAAUCCUCCAUUCAGAAUCAAUCAUUUUGCUAAGCGAACAGUGGAUCUUGAAUGGGAGAAUCAAUACAGUAUUAGUGGUUCAAAUCUUUUAACAGUCUCCAUCACCUAUUUGCCAGAUGGGAAAUACCUAGUUGAGGAGAAAGCAAUUCCCCUGGUUUGGAGAUCCAGGUGACACAACUAAGCAACAAUAACUAUAGAGUUGAAGUGGAUGGUCUAAGCCUGAAUGUCUGCUUGGCAGCUUACUCCAAGGAUCAAAUUGAGCAUAUUCACAUCUGGCAUGGCGACUCUCAACAUCAGUUUAAACAAAGGAUGGGCCUAGAAAUCUAUGAUGAUGAAGAAACAAUAGACAAGCCUGCUAGGGUGGCGACAUCUUAUCCUUCUGGUACUGUGAUUGCACCCAUGGCUGGGCUAGUGGUUAAAGUAUUGGUGAAGGAUGGGGAGAAAGUUCAGGAGGGACAACCUGUGUUAGUAUUAGAAGCAAUGAAGAUGGAGCAUGUAGUGAAAGCACCAGCUAAUGGCUAUGUAAGCGGGCUUGAAAUCAAAGUGGGCCAAUCGGUCCAAGAUGGUAUAAAACUCUUUGCUCUCAAGGACUGAAAUAUAUCCUGAGGCUAUGACAACAUCAUUCUACACAACUGUAUGUAUGACCUUCCUAUGAGGACUGUACAUCCACUAGGCAUAAGAAUAACAACAUUGAGAUGUAAAAUCUCUUGGAGUUUCAUCUUCUAUAUUUCAAAUACAUUUACUUGUAAAUGACUUUCCAGCUCAAAAUUUGUCCAGAUUAGUGGUAUAUGAUCAAUGGUUGCUCAUUGAUUUCUAAGAUAUACAAGCAAAGUUCUUUCUGCUUACUUCUGAAAGUUACUUGUUUAGGUAUUGCAAGAAAAAAACGUGCUUUGCCUUGUCCUA